RNAcentral lists this long non-coding RNA (588 nucleotides) under Homo sapiens (human). RNAcentral's name for it is "HSALNT0217356". Lineage: Eukaryota; Metazoa; Chordata; Mammalia; Primates; Hominidae. The record is from RNAcentral.
CUUUCCCCAGCGGCUCCCAGGGCAUUUCUGAAGCAGUUCACUUCUCGCCCAGGACUCCCAGUUUUGAAUGCUAGAUGGCGCUGUAACCUGAUUGAAAGAAGACUGUCCCAACAAAGGGAGAUAUCAGCAACUUUUAUAACUAGAUUACAUAAGAGACCUCUAUGCAUCAGUAAGAGAAAAAGUCAUAAGCCAGGGGAGAUGGACAAAUUAUUUGAAAAACUACCACAACAUAGGAGAGGAUUAAACAUGUUCACUGGCAAGUUGUAUUUCCAUGUUGUCCUUCUACAACAAUGUACCCAAGCACACAUUGCUGCCCUGUGAACACCAAGGACAUCCGCCAGAGGUCGGGGUCACCAGGACGCUGACAUUCUGGAAGUAAACAACGUUAAUGGGGGAAAUAUGGUGAAUUAGAAACGAUCAAUUUGUAUGGAGGAAUAAGCUGGGAGGAAGGGAAUGGUAGUGGAACUCCUCCACACUUCUCAGUUCGUCUCUCUCUCCAACUGCCUGAUGCAGCUUCCAUCAACAGAGAAGUGCUGGCACUGAGAAGGUGCCCCUCCUGCUCCAUGAAGAUGCACUUGAUCCAGAAAG